GAUUCGCCUUGAACAGCCUGUAAUCCCAUUCAGACUUCCUUCGAAGCGACAUCGAUUGGUCAGGAGCCUUGCACAAGCAUCCAUGGACGUAAUCGAAGGAUACGUGCACUUGCCGCUCUCUCUCCCUCAGGAGUUUCGCCUUCGCUCGGCUGGCUCCAUAAAUUUGCAGCGCCAAAGUGAUAAUGAAAGUGUUUCCUUCCGUUUUGGCCAAACAAUGUGCCAAGAAAAGCGACACGAGCCAGGCGAAAAGCCCAAGGGUGGAGGAGCAGAAAUGCAUAAAAAAGUCCGUGGUAUUCUUAAUGCUCUAUCUCCAGAUUCAAAAGGGUUUAAUUACGGUAAAUAUUUUAAGGAUUAUUUCUUUUUAAGGCUAUUAUACUUUUCGCUUUCAAUAAAAAAAACCUUGUCAGACUUGAAAUGAAAAGAUAUUAUAAUAACUAUAGAGUCCUUUCUUCAGCAA
Molecule: long non-coding RNA, 457 nt
Organism: Drosophila bipectinata
Lineage: Eukaryota; Metazoa; Arthropoda; Insecta; Diptera; Drosophilidae
Source: RefSeq, a predicted model, not a curated record